RNAcentral lists this ribosomal RNA (276 nucleotides) under uncultured bacterium. RNAcentral describes it as "partial 16S ribosomal RNA". It matches the Rfam family "Bacterial small subunit ribosomal RNA", at positions 1225 to 1500 of the family's 1533-position model. The record is from RNAcentral.
CUACAAUGGCGUAAACAGAGGGAAGCGAGCCUGCGAGGGGGAGCGAAUCCCAAAAAUAACGUCCCAGUUCGGAUUGUAGUCUGCAACCCGACUACAUGAAGCUGGAAUCGCUAGUAAUCGCGGAUCAGAAUGCCGCGGUGAAUACGUUCCCGGGUCUUGUACACACCGCCCGUCACACCAUGGGAGUCGGAAAUGCCCGAAGUCCGUGACCCAACCUUAGGGAGGGAGCUGUCGAAGGUGGAGCCGGUAACUGGGGUGAAGUCGUAACAAGGUACC